RNAcentral lists this ribosomal RNA (301 nucleotides) under uncultured bacterium. Its description in RNAcentral is "partial 16S ribosomal RNA". It matches the Rfam family "Bacterial small subunit ribosomal RNA", at positions 509 to 807 of the family's 1533-position model. The record is from RNAcentral.
CAGCAGCCGCGGUAAUACGUAGGUGGCAAGCGUUGUCCGGAAUUAUUGGGCGUAAAGGGCUCGCAGGCGGUUUCUUAAGUCUGAUGUGAAAGCCCCCGGCUCAACCGGGGAGGGUCAUUGGAAACUGGGAAACUUGAGUGCAGAAGAGGAGAGUGGAAUUCCACGUGUAGCGGUGAAAUGCGUAGAGAUGUGGAGGAACACCAGUGGCGAAGGCAACUCUCUGGUCUGUAACUGACGCUGAGGAGCGAAAGCGUGGGGAGCGAACAGGAUUAGAUACCCGCGUAGUCCCUGUCUCUUAUAC